GGGGCUGUCCUGGUUUCGACGUGGGUUCGGGACCGGUGCGGUGCAUGUCGAGCUUGAGUGAUGCUCGUAAAUCUCCAUUCAAAAAACUAACUGCAAACGACGAACGUUUCGCACUCGCCGCUUAAUCCGGUGAGCCUUGCAACAGCACGCUAGUGGGCUGGGCAAGGGGGUAGCAAUACCUCCCGGCUGCAAGGGAAUUUACAUUAGCUGGCUGGAUACCGGGCUUCUUGGUAUCAGGCGAGAUUCAAGGAAGCUGGCUACCCAGAUAGCGUGUGCCUGCGGGGUCUGGGUGGCGAGAUUCAAAACAGAGCACUAAACAUGUAGAUCUGUCCGGCGAAGGCUUACGGACGCGGGUUCAAUUCCCGCCAGCUCCACCA
This 377-nucleotide transfer-messenger RNA is filed under the name Comamonas sp. It matches the Rfam family "transfer-messenger RNA". From Rfam's summary of the family: Bacterial tmRNA, also known as 10Sa RNA or SsrA, is named for its dual tRNA and mRNA-like properties. Its role is to liberate the mRNA from a stalled ribosome. RNAcentral also lists the same sequence under 1 other name. The record is from RNAcentral. Lineage: Bacteria; Pseudomonadati; Pseudomonadota; Betaproteobacteria; Burkholderiales; Comamonadaceae.